This 460-nucleotide ribosomal RNA is filed under the name uncultured bacterium. RNAcentral's name for it is "partial 16S ribosomal RNA". It matches the Rfam family "Bacterial small subunit ribosomal RNA", at positions 338 to 795 of the family's 1533-position model. The record is from RNAcentral.
CCUACGGGUGGCAGCAGUGAGGAAUAUUGGUCAAUGGCCGAGAGGCUGAACCAGCCAAGUCGCGUGAAGGAUGACUGCCCUAUGGGUUGUAAACUUCUUUUAUAAAGGAAUAAAACGAGGCACGUGUGCCUUUUUGCGUGUACUUUAUGAAUAAGGAUCGGCUAACUCCGUGCCAGCAGCCGCGGUAAUACGGAGGAUCCGAGCGUUAUCCGGAUUUAUUGGGUUUAAAGGGUGCGUAGAUGGGUCGUUAAGUCAGUUGUGAAAGUUUGCGGCUCAAACGUAAAAUUGCAAUUGAUACUGGCAUUCUUGAGUACAGUUGAGGUAGGCGGAAUUCGUGGUGGAGCGGUGAAAUGCAUAGAUAUCACGAAGAACCCCGAUUGCGAAGGCAGCGUACUAACCUGUGACUGACAUUGAUGCUCGAAAGUGUGGGUAUCAAACAGGAUUAGAUACCCGAGUAGUC